UGUAACUUCAGGAACUCAAAAGUGAGCUAAGGCUGUAAGUAAGCAAGCAGCUGCCUGGCAGGAAGGGUGCGUGUUACAUUUCAACACUGGUGUCUGAGCACAGGAACACAGAAAGCUGCAGAUCAAUGGUCAAUCUUGCUCAGUAUUGUCUACAUUGAAUGACAGUGACUUUCCAGGGGUUCAGGCAGGGGACACUCCAAGCCCUGCCUGGAAGUACCGAGGACCAGCUCUGAGACCUUCUGCCUGCAAAACAGAUGCUCCACCGGAGAAAUCCUAACAUUUUAUUUUUUUAAUGCUUAUGAUUUUUU
Molecule: non-coding RNA, 308 nt
Organism: Zootoca vivipara (common lizard)
Lineage: Eukaryota; Metazoa; Chordata; Lepidosauria; Squamata; Lacertidae
Source: RefSeq, a predicted model, not a curated record